This 349-nucleotide ribosomal RNA is filed under the name uncultured bacterium. RNAcentral's name for it is "bacterial SSU rRNA". It matches the Rfam family "Bacterial small subunit ribosomal RNA", at positions 158 to 507 of the family's 1533-position model. The record is from RNAcentral.
ACGGGCUAAUAUCAGAUAAACAAUAACUUGGCAUCAAGUAAUUGUCAAAGCUUCGGCGCCCAAAGAUGAGUCUGCGGACCAUUAGGUAGUUGGUGGAUUUAACAGCCCACCAAGCCAACGAUGGAUAGCUGGUCUGAGAGGAUGAUCAGCCACACUGGAACUGAGACACGGUCCAGACUCCUACGGGAGGCAGCAGUAAGGAAUAUUGCUCAAUGGGAGAAAUCCUGAAGCAGCAACGCCGCGUGAAGGAAGAAGGGUCUUCGACUUGUAAACUUCUGUAGAAGAGGAAAAUACUCCGAUAUACUCGGAAUUGAUUGUACUCUUAAAGUAAGCCCCGGCUAACUACGUG